GACGAACGCUGGCGGCGCGCUUAACACAUGCAAGUCGAGCGAUGAAAUUUCGACAGGUCCCUUCGGGGUGAAGAUGAAAUGGAUUAGCGGCGGACGGGUGAGUAACACGUGAGUAACCUGCCUUUGACAUUGGGAUAGCCUCGGGAAACUGGGAUUAAUACCAAAUGACACUAACUGAUCACAUGAUCAAUUAGUCAAAGAAAUUCGGUCAAAGAUGGACUCGCGGCUGAUUAGCUAGUUGGUGAGGUAACGGCCCACCAAGGCGACGAUCAGUAGCCGGCCUGAGAGGGUGAUCGGCCACAUUGGAACUGAGACACGGUCCAAACUCCUACGGGAGGCAGCAGUGGGGAAUAUUGCACAAUGGGCGAAACCCUGAUGCAGCGACGCCGCGUGAGCGAAGAAGGCCUUCGGGUCGUAAAGCUCUUUUAUGAGCGAAGAUAAUGACGGUACCUCAAGAAAAAGCCCCGGCUAACUACGUG
RNAcentral lists this ribosomal RNA (479 nucleotides) under uncultured bacterium. RNAcentral describes it as "partial 16S ribosomal RNA". It matches the Rfam family "Bacterial small subunit ribosomal RNA", at positions 28 to 507 of the family's 1533-position model. The record is from RNAcentral.